GAUGAACGCUGGCGGCGUGCCUAAUACAUGCAAGUCGAGCGAACGGAUAAGGAGCUUGCUCCUUUGAUGUUAGCGGCGGACGGGUGAGUAACACGUGGGUAACCUACCUAUAAGACUGGGAUAACUUCGGGAAACCGGGGCUAAUGCCGGAUAAUAUGUUGAACCGCAUGGUUCUAAAGUGAAAGGCGGCUUUGCUGUCACUUAUAGAUGGAUCCGCGCCGUAUUAGCUAGUUGGUAAGGUAACGGCUCACCAAGGCAACGAUACGUAGCCGACCUGAGAGGGUGAUCGGCCACACUGGAACUGAGACACGGUCCAGACUCCUACGGGAGGCAGCAGUAGGGAAUCUUCCGCAAUGGGCGAAAGCCUGACGGAGCAACGCCGCGUGAGUGAUGAAGGUCUUCGGAUCGUAAAACUCUGUUAUUAGGGAAGAACAAAUGCGUAAGUAACUGUGCGCGUCUUGACGGUACCUAAUCAGAAAGCCACGGCUAACUACGUG
This 497-nucleotide ribosomal RNA is filed under the name uncultured bacterium. Its description in RNAcentral is "partial 16S ribosomal RNA". It matches the Rfam family "Bacterial small subunit ribosomal RNA", at positions 28 to 507 of the family's 1533-position model. The record is from RNAcentral.